UUAAAAGAUAGUUUCAACAUAUAAAAGUUUUAUAGAGAAAAGCUGAAAUAUAAACAUCGUCUCAAAUCCAUCUAGUACAUAAGAGUUUAUCAGAACGCAGCCCGUACAUCAAGUCCCAAAACUGAAAUUAAAGACAAAAGGGAAAUCAAGCUCGGUCCUCAAAAUAUGAGGACUCACCACAACUUGAAAUCUCUUUAACAACCUCUAGCCACGAAAUUGAGAACCCUGAAUGUCAGAUCCUACAUUUGAGAAAAUGUAGGCAAGAGUAUACAUUAGUACAAAAAUUCACCAAGUAUGAUAGUCAUGCAUAAAAGUAUGAAAUCAUGCUAAAUCGGACAUUUUCAUGAUAUUCAAAGACCAAGUCAAACAUAAGAUAAGAAGGUCAGAAACAUAAAACGAAAUCAUGAUCAAUGCAAGAUAAACCGUCUUUGAACACAUGUGAGAUACUUCUUGAAGUAACCUUAGUUCAUUAUUAUUGCAAAAAUUAGCCUUAACUGACAUAAAUACCAUGUGAGCUAUAACAUGAUCCCUUGGUGUCUCCCACACCGAAAAGGGUUGUCCUACUUUCCAAGGUAGAACCAUGAAUCUGAGCUAAAGUUGAUCCACUAGUUAAUUUCUAUUUAGACAAUCAUCCAAUGGGGGCACAUAGGUAAGGGAUAAGGAUAUUGCUUUUAGAAACCCGACCUCAACACAGAAGAGCUUCCAUCUCAAUAUCAUCUUGGUUCUAAACAUAAAUCCCACGGAGUAGUUAUUAAUCUUAACUUGUCUCGUGAUCCAUGGAAAGGCAUAAUUAAGUAGCCAAUCCAAGCUAAAAUCAUAUUAUCAUCCAUGGAAAGGUGCAAUUAAGCAACCAAACCAAGAUAGAGUCAUAGUAUAGCUCCUUAGACCAUGCAUGAGAAAACCUUUCACCAUCCAUGAUCUUUUCAUAAUAGCUUCUAAGGCCCACAUUCAUUCACUUUAUGCUAGAGAUGCCCUACUAAUACUAAUGGAAAUAGUUUUGAAAUUGUGGCCUAUAAUCAUUGAUCACAUAUGCGGAUACCAUACUAGUUAAAACCUAAUUUAGGAAAAUAGCUCGAAAACUAUUGAGGGCAAAUCUAGAUGUCAUUCAUGUCAUCUGGCCAAGAUUCAUAGAACAUAUAGACAAUCUCAUCUAUAAGAUUUCUUGAGUAAUAAACAUAACUUAUAAACAUGCAUUCUUUUUAAUAAUUCAUAAGCUUCAUCAUAUUUUCAAAGUCAAAGCAUCUUCAAUUCCAUAACAACAAUCUCAUCAAAAGGACAUGCAUAUUUUCAUAAAUUCAUCUUUCAUAUUUCAUGACCCACAUUAUGUCGAUAGAUGAAAGUCGGAGGUAAAGCUCUUAGCGCACGAUAGAAAAUUAGGUAACGUUCUCAGCGCACGAUAGCAAGGAAGCAAUUGUACCUGAGGAUUCUUCCAAUGGGAAGUCGGUGAGCUCCGAUGAACACAAGCAUUGCAAAAAAAUGGACACGCUUGUUACAGAUGUUAUACAGAAGUUGCAACCAUUAACUUUUGGUAGCUUCCUACCAUCAAAAUUCAAAGCAAUUCCAGAGGAGACUGAUACUAGUAGCAAUGAAGAUGAGAUGCUGGGACAUUUGCGCAACCUACCCCUGUAGCUCCUAGGUCUGUUAGAGGUAAUCAAAAUACUGGUAAGUCUCUGAAAUUCAUACCUCUAGCCACAAAUGACUGUCAAGUUACCAAGGUAUGGGGAUUUGUUAAUAAACCUCGGGUCCUAUUGCAUGAGGAUGGCUACUACAUAUUCAGAUUUCAAAUUGUAGAAGAUAGGGAGAAGGUGCUUCAAUCAAGACCCUAUUUCUAUAGGAAUAAACCUGUAAUCUUAUGACAAUGGGAGAUAGAUUUUGAUUUGGAAGAAUAUAUGAUUAGGCAAAUUCCUAUUUGUGUCAAAUUUCCUAAGUUGCCAGUAGGUUACUGGUCUGUGGAAGCGUUCAGCAAAUUCGCUAGUGCAGUUGGGAACCGUUUGCAUACUGAUAAUUUUACAGCAAAUGCAGAAAAGAUUUCAUAUGAUAGAAUUCUCAUAGAAGUGGAUGUUUCUCAGCCUUUUCCAGAUUGUAUAGCUAUUGAAACACCCUCUGGACCAUGGACGCAGCCAGUUGAAUAUGAAUGGAGACCUAAAUUUUGUGAUGAGUGUAUACGACUGGGUCACACUACUGGGAGUGCUGGUAUAAACAUGAAGCUGAUAUGGAGGAGAAAGGAGCACCAGUGAUAACCAAGAGGAAGAGAGGUAGAGGAAGGAAAAUUCCAAAAGAAAAAUGGAUCCCUAUUCUGGGCAAAGUAAAUUAGCCUGAGGUAUCAGUGGCAGCAAAGCAAACUGAAACUACUCAAACUUCUGCACUGAAUGUAGAUCCAGGACAAAGAGAUAGGAAGCAAAUUGUGGAGAACUCGUAUGAGAGCUAUGAGGAUAAGAAAGGAUUAUCUGAGGUAGUUCAUGGUGGAAUAAAUAGUGCUAGAAACUCCAUGCCAUUUGUUCCUCCAUGAUUAUCUCUACAUGAAAUAUAAGGGGCCCUAACCAAGGCCAUAAACAGAAGGAGUUGAAGCUCUUUCUGACAAAACAUAAAAUAGAUAUAUUUGGAUGUCUGGAAACAAGAGUUAAACAGCCUAGAGCCCCACAUAUUAUGAGGAAGAUAUCUUAGGGUUGGAAGUCAUGUAAUAAUUACUUAGAAGAACCUAACAGAAGAAUUUGGGUAUUGUGGAAACCUCACUUGCGCGUACAGAUCAUUGAGAUGAAAAGGUAAUAUAUUCACUGCUUAGUUGAGGAUCCUGGGGUUCAAAGCACAUUAUAUGUCACAAUAGUAUAUACAAGGAAUGAAGGACAUGCAAGGAAUGAAGGACAACAAAAAGAGAUACUUUUGCAAGAAUUGAUGCAGAUUAAACCACAGCUCAGAUCCCUUGGGUAUUAUGUUGUGACUUUAACAGUGUAUUGAGGACUGCAGAUAGAAUAGGAUCACCUGUUACAAACAGGAAGUACAAUUCUUUCAGAGUAUGGUAGAUCAUAUGCACCUCACUCCUAUUAGAGAUACUGUAUGGCACUUUACUUGGUCUAAUAAGCCGGAGGUAGAGAAUAGAGUAUAUAGUAAGAUAGAUUGGGCAUUUGGUAAUCUUCAUUGGAUACAACAGUAUGGACAUAUGGAGUUUGACUACCUUAAUCCUUCGGUAUCUGAUCAUUAUCCAAUUUUGAUAAAGUGCUCCCAGCAACAAACAUUACAUCACAGGCCUUUCAGAUUCUAUCCUCAUGUGAUGGAUCAUCUAGAAUUUAAAGAAGUACUACAGACCACUUGGUGACAACAUAAUCCAGAUUGUACAUGAAACCAGGGGCGGAUCUAUGUGGACAGGUGGGGGUGCCACGGCACCCAGUGAUCUCGGAGAAAAACGUCGUUUAUAUAUGUAUAUAUGCAUAAUAAUUCAAUAUAUAUUACUUUUGCCACCCACUGACUGAAAUGCAGAACAGCUCAAUUGGCGAAGGAGUUGGUCUGCCACACAGCCAACGCGGGUUCGAACCUCACUGCCAACACUUAAUUUUUUGCUUGCUCCUUUUCUUCUUUACUUUUCUUUUUUGUCUUUUUCAUUAGUAUGUAAAGGUGCUUAAUUUAUUUUUUUUCUCCAUUCAUUCUAAUUAUUUACUAUUCUUUAUUAAUUCAAAUUGACUCCUUUUCAUGAUUAAUUUUUAGUUCUUCUUUUCUUUUUCAUCAGUAUGUAAAGGGCUUAAUUUUUUUUUCUCCAUUCAUUCUAAUUUAUUUACUAUUCUUUAUUAAUUCAAAUUGACUCCUUUUCAUGAUUAAUUUUUAAUUGUUUUUGUUUACUUUCUCUUGCACUAAUUAUUAAUCUCUUGAUAUGGGUGUUACAUGUUUAUUUUUAUCAAUUAAAAUAAAUAUUAUUAAGAAUAUAUUCAAAUAGUAAUUUUUUAAAAUAUGUUUUAAAAAUGAUGAUUAUUAUUAUUAGAGUUUUUUUUUUUUUUUAAAUAAAGGUUCUUUCAAUCUUCACCGACGUUCUUGCUAAGUAAGAUGACUAGGCUGAAACUACAAUUUUUAUUAUUUCCCUACUAUAUAUCUCCAACAACACAUAAAGUCAAUGUAAUAUGAAUAUAUUAUGUUAAUACUAUUAGAUGGUUUAUACAAGCUCAAAUUUUAAUGUGAAAAAUCUUUUUUUUUCUCAAAGUUUUAGCAAAUAAGACAUCUAAUUCCAAAAAGGGAAAAAAUUGAACUGUUUAGUUAUCUCUAAUCUCAGAAUAUCUAAAGAAAUAUUACUAACAUGCAUAUUUGAUCGAUUUGUUUAUAAAAAAUAAAUCAGUAACCCGAAUUGUAACCCAAAAUUAAAGCAACCGAUCAUUUUAUCUUACUUGAACGUUGUGGCACCCACGACCUCCAAAUCCUAGAUCCGCCCCUGCAUGAAACACCUAUGGGAUAAACUCAAGACGGUGAAGACAUAAAUGAAGAAUAUAAAUGCAUACAUGACUUCUUACAAGCAGAAACUCAGUUUGUCAAGGGAGAAAUUAGAAAUUAUACAAGGGCAAAUCCAAGGGCAAUUAUUUUCACAUAUAUUAUUUGACCAGGAGAAUCAGUAUUGAUAGAAGUCCAAAAAUGGAGCAACAUUGAUGAGCAAGUGUUGAGGAAGAAGGCUAGAGCUACCUGGAUAGAACAUGAAGAUACAAAUACACAAUAUUUUCAUGCCCAAUAGAAAAUUAGAACUAGCCAUAAUACAAUCACUUCAAUUAACACUGAGGUUGGUAUAAAGCUUACUGAACCAAGGCAGAUUGAAAAUGAGUUCAUCUUUAUUUUUAAAGGUUUAAUGGGGACCAUAGAAUAUAUAUUGCCAUGUCUAAAUACUCUGGUGGUCAAAACUGGAGUGUGCCUAAAUGUGCA
RNAcentral lists this long non-coding RNA (4890 nucleotides) under Solanum tuberosum (potato). RNAcentral describes it as "long non-coding RNA (STUB_LNC008093)". The record is from RNAcentral. Lineage: Eukaryota; Viridiplantae; Streptophyta; Magnoliopsida; Solanales; Solanaceae.